This 258-nucleotide ribosomal RNA is filed under the name uncultured bacterium. RNAcentral's name for it is "partial 16S ribosomal RNA". It matches the Rfam family "Bacterial small subunit ribosomal RNA", at positions 524 to 776 of the family's 1533-position model. The record is from RNAcentral.
UACAGAGACUGCAAGCGUUUAGUUCGAUUCACUGGGCGUAAAGGGUGCGCAGGCGGCCGUGUGUGUGAGGUGUGAAAGCCUGGGGCUUAACCCCAGAAAUGCGCCUCAAACUACAUGGCUAGAGCAUUGGAGAGGGUAGCAGAAUUCAUGGUGUAGCAGUGAAAUGCGUAGAGAUGUGGAGGAACACCGGAUGGCGAAAGGCAGCCCCCCUGGGGUCAAGAUUGACGCUCAUGCACGAAAGCGUGGGGAGCAAACAGG